This 66-nucleotide transfer RNA is filed under the name Cordylochernes scorpioides. RNAcentral's name for it is "tRNA-Thr". It matches the Rfam family "tRNA", at positions 5 to 66 of the family's 71-position model. From Rfam's summary of the family: Transfer RNA (tRNA) molecules are approximately 80 nucleotides in length. Lineage: Eukaryota; Metazoa; Arthropoda; Arachnida; Pseudoscorpiones; Chernetidae. The record is from RNAcentral.
GGGUAGCCUAGUGGACAUGGCACCUGCCCGGUAAGCAGAAGGUUGUGGGUUCGAUUCCCCCCCCCC